This 1502-nucleotide long non-coding RNA is filed under the name Cricetulus griseus (Chinese hamster). Its description in RNAcentral is "lncRNA (ENSCGRG00015015190.2)". The record is from RNAcentral. Lineage: Eukaryota; Metazoa; Chordata; Mammalia; Rodentia; Cricetidae.
UCUCUUUGCAUUUUAUUUCUUGUUAGUGUUUGCCUGUGUACCACAGCAAACUUAUGGAGGUUAGAGAAAACUUAGAGGAGUUGGUUCUCAGCUUCUGCCAUGUGAAUCCAAGGGAUGUAACUCAGAUUCUUAAAGCUUGGAACUCACAGAGAUCCUCCUGCCUCUCCCUCCCAAGUGCUGGGAUCAAAGACGUGCAUCACCACUGCCCCACUUGUAUCUCUUGUUAGUACAUCAAACAGCAGAGUGAUUGUGUAAACAUGUAAAUAGCAGAAAUUCCAGAAAAUUAGCAUCAGCAGUGAGGGGUUUCAGUUGGUUUGUUUUGCUACUGUUCAAUUUCCAUUUGGAACACUUCAUAGUCUUUGGGAGAGUAUGACAUUUCAUUCUGACGUGUUACUUUGUGAAACCUUAUUUCUGAUACAUCCUACUAAUUAAUAAUACAUCCUACGAAUAAUAAAAACCCAGAGAUAGAUAUUGGGGUUCAAGAUGAACAUCAAAAAAGCAAAGCAGCCAAGACACUAAAGAGUUAAGACUUACUUCUACCAAGCGUCAAUCCGAAGAGAGGUGAUCCUGUGUGACUUCAAGGCUGCAAACUGCAGUACUCUCCACCAAAACUCAACUCUGAGACUACACUGAGCUCCUGCCUUAUAUUCCUUUCUAGUGCUGGGAUUAAAGAUCAUAAACAAAAUAUCACCACAGUGAAGAUUGCUAAUGGAUGUCUGUGACUGUUAAUCAUGGUUAAUCAUUACUGUCAACGUGAUUGGAUUGAGAAAUAUCUAAAAGAUGUAAAAUAUAGACCUGGAUGUGUCUAUGAGGUCACUUCCAAAGAAAAUUGAAGAUUGAAGCACCUACCUCAUCCUUGCAUGAAUUCAAAUUUCCAAUGGACUGUUGGAAUGUUGUGGAGCUGUGGUGACAGUCUAUUACUAAUGGGAAGUCACAGCAGCAGGAGCUUGAGAGAGCUGGUCACAUCACUUCCCAAACCGAAAACCAUGUCUCUUGCCCUGUUCCAGUGGUGAAAGAUGAAGUCAAGUUGGGAGUAUAAGUCUACUGAUAGAGUAACAAAAUGAUUUGCAAUAAAGUGGAAAGCAUUAAUCAAGAAAAAUAAAGAAGUCUGCUGAAAAAGUAAGAGGAAACAAAACACUAUUGAAAAGGCAAGACCCACAUACAGUGGUACAGAUCGGACAAAAUCUCAAACAACUGGAUGUGGAACUCCAGAAGAAAAUACUGUCUUUGGGGGAAAAUCUUACACUGGGGGAAGAAAAAUGGACAGAUCCUGCUUCCACUGCCCUUCUCUGUCAUUGAUUGACAGCUGCCAAGAAAAAGAUUGGUUCCGCUGGAAUGAUGUGCUUUGCCUUCAAGUGGAUGUAUGUAGCUAGCUCAAUGGCACCCGGUGGAGCCGGAUGGCAAGCUCCUUUAAAACUGUUAAUGCGUCUGGAUCCAGCAUCACAGAACAGUUCCUGGGCCAAAUGUGUCCUAGAAGAUUAUCUCCACUCUUUAUGUAAUGU